RNAcentral lists this ribosomal RNA (404 nucleotides) under Monodopsis subterranea. RNAcentral's name for it is "Monodus subterranea partial small subunit ribosomal RNA". It matches the Rfam family "Eukaryotic small subunit ribosomal RNA", at positions 30 to 432 of the family's 1831-position model. Lineage: Eukaryota; Eustigmatophyceae; Eustigmatales; Monodopsidaceae. The record is from RNAcentral.
GCUUGUCUCAAAGAUUAAGCCAUGCAUGUCUAAGUAUAAACGAUUUUAUACGUGAAACUGCGAAUGGCUCAUUAUAUCAGUUAUAGUUUAUUUGAUGGUCUUUGCUACUUGGAUAACCGUAGUAAUUCUAGAGCUAAUACAUGCAUCAACUCCCAACUGCUUGUCGGACGGGAUGUAUUUAUUAGAUUGAAACCAAUGCGGGGCAACCCGGUAUUGUGGUGAAUCAUAAUAACUUUGCGGAUCGCAGACCUCGCGUCGGCGACGAAUCAUUCAAGUUUCUGCCCUAUCAGCUUUGGAUGGUAGGGUAUUGGCCUACCAUGGCUUUAACGGGUAACGGAGAAUUAGGGUUCGAUUCCGGAGAGGGAGCCUGAGAAAUGGCUACCACAUCCAAGGAAGGCAGCAGG